GAUGAACGCUGGCGGCGUGCCUAAUACAUGCAAGUCGAGCGAACGGACGAGAAGCUUGCUUCUCUGAUGUUAGCGGCGGACGGGUGAGUAACACGUGGAUAACCUACCUAUAAGACUGGGAUAACUUCGGGAAACCGGAGCUAAUACCGGAUAAUAUUUUGAACCGCAUGGUUCAAAAGUGAAAGACGGUCUUGCUGUCACUUAUAGAUGGAUCCGCGCUGCAUUAGCUAGUUGGUAAGGUAACGGCUUACCAAGGCAACGAUGCAUAGCCGACCUGAGAGGGUGAUAGGCCACACUGGCACUGAGACACGGUCCAGACUCCUACGGGAGGCAGCAGUAGGGAAUCUUCCGCGAUGGGCGAAAGCCUGACGGAGCAACGCCGCGUGAGUGAUGAAGGUCUUCGGAUCGUAAAACUCUGUUAUUAGGGAAGAACAUAUGUGUAAGUAACUGUGCACAUCUUGACGGUACCUAAUCAGAAAGCCACGGCUAACUACGUG
Molecule: ribosomal RNA, 497 nt
Filed under: uncultured bacterium
Lineage: Bacteria
Description: partial 16S ribosomal RNA
Rfam family: Bacterial small subunit ribosomal RNA
Source: RNAcentral